AGAGUUUGAUCCUGGCUCAGGAUGAACGCUGGCGGCGUGCCUAACCCAUGUAAGUCGAGCGAUUCUUAGCAAUAAGAAGAGCGGCGGAAGGGUGAGUAACACGUAGGAGACCUACCUCAUCGCAGGGAACAACUUCGCGAAAGCGGAGCUAAUACCCAAGAAGCUCGUGCAUUCGGUUGUACGAGAAGAGUUUGUAAGAGCGUGAUGAGAGGGUCCUGCGGCCCAUCAGCUAGUUGGUAGGGUAGUGGCCUACCAAGGCAACGACGGGUAGGGGGUCUGAGAGGACGAUCCCCCACGCUGGAACUGAAACACGGUCCAGACGCCUACGGGUGGCAGCAGGGAGGAAUAUUGGGCAAUGGACGAAAGUCUGACCCAGCAACGCCGCGUGAAGGAUGAAGGCCCUCGGGUUGUAAACUUCUUUUGAGGG
Molecule: ribosomal RNA, 427 nt
Filed under: uncultured bacterium
Lineage: Bacteria
Description: bacterial SSU rRNA
Rfam family: Bacterial small subunit ribosomal RNA
Source: RNAcentral